GCAAGAUGAAGCGUUGAAUUGAAGCCCGAGUAAACGGCGGCCGUAACUAUAACGGUCCUAAGGUAGCGAAAUUCCUUGUCGGUUAAAUACCGACCUGCAUGAAUGGCGUAACGAGAUGGGAGCUGUCUCAACCAGAGAUUCAGUGAAAUUGUAGUGGAGGUGAAAAUUCCUCCUACCCGCGGCAAGACGGAAAGACCCCGUGGACCUUUACUACAACUUAGC
RNAcentral lists this ribosomal RNA (222 nucleotides) under Helicobacter pylori. RNAcentral describes it as "partial 23S ribosomal RNA". It matches the Rfam family "Bacterial large subunit ribosomal RNA", at positions 1895 to 2115 of the family's 2925-position model. The record is from RNAcentral. Lineage: Bacteria; Pseudomonadati; Campylobacterota; Epsilonproteobacteria; Campylobacterales; Helicobacteraceae.